Long non-coding RNA from Ostrea edulis (European flat oyster), 1107 nucleotides. RefSeq lists it as uncharacterized. The record is from RefSeq and is a predicted model, not a curated record. The transcript is spliced from 2 exons. NCBI's taxonomy places the organism in Eukaryota, Metazoa, Mollusca, Bivalvia, Ostreida, Ostreidae.
AAACGCGCAAGUAUCCCCUUUUAAACAAACACAUCUGUCAAAUUGCCGACUUAUGAACAAAUACUUACUUCAUAUUACCCAUUCACUAUUGGUAUUUACAAUAUAUGCAUACAAUAUUGUUUAGUUAUUGAAAACACAUUGUGAUGAAGUUAAUUUUCAUUUUGGUAGUUUUUUGUGGUGUUGUUUGUAAUUAGUUGUUUAUGCUUGUAAGGUGUUUCCAUAGUGUGAGUGUUGGUCGAUAAGGCUAUUUUUAGCAUACCGGUUUGGUCAGUCAGAGAGUAGCGACUGUUUGUCAAGCGUGCGGCCACGUUUUCAUGCUGUCCAGCAGGGGUCUUUUCUUGGCGAAUUCCAGAAGUUAGUCUGGGUAAUGGGUAGCCAGAGAGACAAACAUUUUACUAUGUGGGCAUAGGUUUUCUCCAGCCGUGCAGAGGGGAUUUAAGAAGCUAUCUGGGCCAUAUCAGGCAGUACUCUCAGCAUUUCAGUAGGUGCUCGGCGUGGGAAUCAGAACACGUGAGACAGUGCUGUAUGUACAUGGGUGUUCCACGUGGUGGACUUGGCAAUUAUUUUGUGAGUCUAGUGUUGCCAUUGGUUUGAAGUCGGCGUUACCCAGUAUCGUUGUUCAGUGAGAGACCUGUGAGUCCGGGACUGGAAGCGGAGGGGUUGUUCGCGCUGUAUGGAGGCCUGGUGGUGCCAAGUGUGACGUGGCGUUAAAUUGAAUUGUGCUGAGUAGCCAAACUUUCAUAUUGUGUUUCAGUAAACUAACAUUUUAUCAAAAAGGAAUUUGAGAAAUUUGUAUAAAACGUAAUUUACUACUGUUUAACUUUUUCUGUAGUUAGCGGAAUUAGCGACUAUUCGAACCAUUAUGUAUACAUUUAUUACCAGUUAUAUUUUCAGCCUGGAAUGACAUACUUGUUGUAUUAACUAUUGAGUUGUCUUGACAGUUAUACGUUAUAUUGAUUGUCAAUAUUGCCAGGUUUAUUAUACCAAUUUAUAUUUCUUUCUCGGUGAGAGAGUAUGAGUGUGUGAAUGUGAAAGUGUGAUUUCUUUGUUUUUCAAACAUCUCUAUAUUUCUUAUCUUAUUGCUAAAUAAAUUUUCUUUUUAUUUAU